UACGAAGGGGGCUAGCGUUGUUCGGAUUUACUGGGCGUAAAGCGCACGUAGGCGGAUUGGUCAGUUAGGGGUGAAAUCCUGGAGCUCAACUCCAGAACUGCCUUUAAUACUGCCAAUCUCGAGUCCGGAAGAGGUAAGUGGAACUCCUAGUGUAGAGGUGGAAUUCGUAGAUAUUAGGAAGAACACCAGUGGCGAAGGCGGCGACCUGGUCCGAUACUGACGCUGAGGUGCGAAAGCGUGGGGAGCAAACAGG
Molecule: ribosomal RNA, 253 nt
Filed under: uncultured bacterium
Lineage: Bacteria
Description: partial 16S ribosomal RNA
Rfam family: Bacterial small subunit ribosomal RNA
Source: RNAcentral